This 253-nucleotide ribosomal RNA is filed under the name uncultured bacterium. Its description in RNAcentral is "partial 16S ribosomal RNA". It matches the Rfam family "Bacterial small subunit ribosomal RNA", at positions 524 to 776 of the family's 1533-position model. The record is from RNAcentral.
UACGUAGGGUGCGAGCGUUGUCCGGAAUUAUUGGGCGUAAAGAGCUCGUAGGCGGUUUGUCGCGUCGACUGUGAAAACCCGCAGCUCAACUGUGGGCUUGCAGCUGAUACGGGCGGGCUGGGAUUCGGUAGGGGAGACUGGAAUUCCUGGUGUAGCGGUGAAAUGCGCAGAUAUCAGGAGGAACACCGGUGGCGAAGGCGGGUCUCUGGGCCGAUACUGACGCUGAGGAGCGAAAGCGUGGGGAGCGAACAGG